RNAcentral lists this ribosomal RNA (410 nucleotides) under uncultured bacterium. Its description in RNAcentral is "bacterial SSU rRNA". It matches the Rfam family "Bacterial small subunit ribosomal RNA", at positions 86 to 507 of the family's 1533-position model. The record is from RNAcentral.
CUCGAGCGAGUGGCGAACGGGUGAGUAACGCGUGAGGAACCUGACCUCAAAGAGGGGGACAACAGUUGGAAACGACUGCUAAUACCGUCAUAAGCCCACGGUGCCGCAUGGGUACAGAGGGAAAAGGAGCAAUCCGCUUUGAGAUGGCCUCGCGUCCGAUUAGCUAGUUGGUGAGGUAACGGCCCACCAAGGCGACGAUCGGUAGCCGGACUGAGAGGUUNAACGGCCACAUUGGGACUGAGACACGGCCCAAACUCCUACGGGAGGCAGCAGUGGGGAAUAUUGCACAAUGGGGGAAACCCUGAUGCAGCGACGCCGCGUGAGCGAAGAAGUAUUUCGGUAUGUAAAGCUCUAUCAGCAGGGAAGAAGAAAUGACGGUACCUGACUAAGAAGCACCGGCUAAAUACGUG